UAGAGUUUGAUCAUGGCUCAGGAUGAACGCUAGCGGCAGGCUUAACACAUGCAAGUCGAGGGGCAUCGGGAGGGAAGCUUGCUUUCCUUGCCGGCGACCGGCGCACGGGUGAGUAACACGUAUGCAACCUGCCCUCUUCAGGGGGACAACCUUCCGAAAGGGAGGCUAAUCCCGCGUAUAUCGGUUUCGGGCAUCCGAGAUCGAGGAAAGAUUCAUCGGAAGAGGAUGGGCAUGCGGCGCAUUAGCUUGACGGCGGGGUAACGGCCCACCGUGGCGACGAUGCGUAGGGGUUCUGAGAGGAAGGUCCCCCACACUGGUACUGAGACACGGACCAGACUCCUACGGGAGGCAGCAGUGAGGAAUAUUGGUCAAUGGGAGAGAUCCUGAACCAGCCAAGCCGCGUGAGGGAAGACGGCCCUAUGGGUUGUAAACCUCUUUUGUCGGAGAACAAAACCCGGGACGUGUCCCGGACUGCGUGUAUCCGAAGAAAAAGCAUCGGCUAACUCCGUGCCAGCAGCCGCGGUAAUACGGAGGAUGCGAGCGUUAUCCGGAUUUAUUGGGUUUAAAGGGUGCGUAGGCGGUCCGUUAAGUCAGCGGUAAAAUUGCGGGGCUCAACCCCGUCGAGCCGUUGAAACUGGCAGACUUGAGUUGGCGAGAAGUACGCGGAAUGCGCGGUGUAGCGGUGAAAUGCAUAGAUAUCGCGCAGAACUCCGAUUGCGAAGGCAGCGUACCGGCGCCACACUGACGCUGAGGCACGAAAGCGUGGGGAUCGAACAGGAUUAGAUACCCUGGU
RNAcentral lists this ribosomal RNA (793 nucleotides) under uncultured bacterium. Its description in RNAcentral is "bacterial SSU rRNA". It matches the Rfam family "Bacterial small subunit ribosomal RNA", at positions 1 to 791 of the family's 1533-position model. The record is from RNAcentral.